UUUUGACAAACGCUGUAUUUUUUAUAAUAUAGAGGAAAGUCCAUGCUCACACUAUUCUGUGAUGAUAGUAGUGUUCGUGCUUAGAGAAAAAAUAAUCUAAGGUAACAAUUUUUUUGUUAACGGCGUCGAGUUAACCUAAAUCGUUAGACAUGGUUAAAUUAGAUGUAAAGUGCCAAAGUGACGAAUUUUUUUAGAAAUAAAAAAAGUGGAACGUGGUAAACCCCGCGAGUGAGAAACCCAAAUUUUGGUAGGGGAACCUAAUAAGGAAGAAUUAAGAAUUUCUUAUGGGAUUGCAAAUGUAAUAGAUAAAUGUUUGUCGCCUAGAAAUAGGAACAGAACAUGGCUUAUAA
This 350-nucleotide RNase P RNA is filed under the name human gut metagenome. RNAcentral's name for it is "Bacterial RNase P class B". It matches the Rfam family "Bacterial RNase P class B". Rfam says of the family: Ribonuclease P (RNase P) is a ubiquitous endoribonuclease, found in archaea, bacteria and eukarya as well as chloroplasts and mitochondria. Its best characterised activity is the generation of mature 5'-ends of tRNAs by cleaving the 5'-leader elements of precursor-tRNAs. Cellular RNase Ps are ribonucleoproteins. The record is from RNAcentral.